This 29-nucleotide non-coding RNA is filed under the name Mus musculus (house mouse). The record is from RNAcentral. Lineage: Eukaryota; Metazoa; Chordata; Mammalia; Rodentia; Muridae.
UGGGAACUUGCCAGAUCUUGAUGCUGCAC